RNAcentral lists this ribosomal RNA (497 nucleotides) under uncultured bacterium. RNAcentral describes it as "partial 16S ribosomal RNA". It matches the Rfam family "Bacterial small subunit ribosomal RNA", at positions 28 to 507 of the family's 1533-position model. The record is from RNAcentral.
GAUGAACGCUGGCGGCAUGCCUAAUACAUGCAAGUCGAGCGAACAGAUGAAGUGCUUGCACUUCUGACGUUAGCGGCGAACGGGUGAGUAACACGUAAGGAAUCUACCUAUAAGCGGGGGAUAACUUUCGGAAACGGGUGCUAAUACCGCAUAAUAUAUUCAUCCGCAUGGAUGAAGAUUGAAAGACGGCUCUGCUGUCACUUAUAGAUGAAUUUGCGCUGCAUUAGCUAGUUGGUGAGGUAACGGCUUACCAGGACGACGAUGCAUAGCCGACCUGAGAGGGUGAUCGGCCACACUGGAACUGAGACACGGCCCAGACUCCUACGGGAGGCAGCAGUAGGGAAUCUUCCGCAAUGGGCGAAAGCCUGACGGAGCAAUGCCGCGUGAGUGAUGAAGGUCUUCGGAUCGUAAAACUCUGUUAUUAGGGAAGAACAAAUGUGUAAGUAACUACGACCGUCUUGACGGUACCUAAUCAGAAAGCCACGGCUAACUACGUG